GGGCCUUUAGCUCAAUCGGUUAGAGCAGACGCUUUAUAAGCGUCAGGUUGCCGGUUCGAAUCCGGUAAGGCCUACCA
RNAcentral lists this transfer RNA (77 nucleotides) under Planctomycetota bacterium. RNAcentral's name for it is "tRNA-Ile". It matches the Rfam family "tRNA". From Rfam's summary of the family: Transfer RNA (tRNA) molecules are approximately 80 nucleotides in length. Their secondary structure includes four short double-helical elements and three loops (D, anti-codon, and T loops). Further hydrogen bonds mediate the characteristic L-shaped molecular structure. tRNAs have two regions of fundamental functional importance: the anti-codon, which is responsible for specific mRNA codon recognition, and the 3' end, to which the tRNAs corresponding amino acid is attached (by aminoacyl-tRNA synthetases). tRNAs cope with the degeneracy of the genetic code in two manners: having more than one tRNA (with a specific anti-codon) for a particular amino acid; and 'wobble' base-pairing, i.e. permitting non-standard base-pairing at the 3rd anti-codon position. The record is from RNAcentral. Lineage: Bacteria; Pseudomonadati; Planctomycetota.